This 61-nucleotide non-coding RNA is filed under the name unclassified sequences. The record is from RNAcentral.
CGGAAAUAGAGCAGCAGGUCGGUAGUUCCUGCACCCCAAGCGGGGUUCUUCCCAGCCACGG